GAUAAGCCUGUAGACGCUUCUGAUUCCCUUUUCGGGACGGGGGUUCAAUUCCCCCCAUCUCCAUCA
RNAcentral lists this transfer-messenger RNA (66 nucleotides) under Pectobacterium polaris. RNAcentral's name for it is "partial transfer-messenger RNA". It matches the Rfam family "transfer-messenger RNA", at positions 306 to 374 of the family's 374-position model. Rfam says of the family: Bacterial tmRNA, also known as 10Sa RNA or SsrA, is named for its dual tRNA and mRNA-like properties. The record is from RNAcentral. Lineage: Bacteria; Pseudomonadati; Pseudomonadota; Gammaproteobacteria; Enterobacterales; Pectobacteriaceae.